UACGAAGGGGGCUAGCGUUGCUCGGAAUCACUGGGCGUAAAGGGCGCGUAGGCGGACUUUUAAGUCGGAGGUGAAAGCCCAGGGCUCAACCCUGGAAUUGCCUUCGAUACUGGGAGUCUUGAGUUCGGAAGAGGUUGGUGGAACUGCGAGUGUAGAGGUGAAAUUCGUAGAUAUUCGCAAGAACACCAGUGGCGAAGGCGGCUCACUGGCCCGGUACUGACGCUGAGGUGCGAAAGCGUGGGGAGCAAACAGG
This 253-nucleotide ribosomal RNA is filed under the name uncultured bacterium. RNAcentral's name for it is "partial 16S ribosomal RNA". It matches the Rfam family "Bacterial small subunit ribosomal RNA", at positions 524 to 776 of the family's 1533-position model. The record is from RNAcentral.